RNAcentral lists this ribosomal RNA (275 nucleotides) under uncultured bacterium. RNAcentral describes it as "partial 16S ribosomal RNA". It matches the Rfam family "Bacterial small subunit ribosomal RNA", at positions 523 to 797 of the family's 1533-position model. The record is from RNAcentral.
AUACGGAGGGUCCGAGCGUUAAUCGGAAUUACUGGGCGUAAAGCGCGCGUUGGUGGAUGUAUAAGUCAGAUGUGAAAGCCCUGGGCUCAACCUAGGAACUGCAUUUGAAACUGUACGUCUAGAGUAUGGUAGAGGUGAGUGGAAUUUCAGGUGUAGCGGUGAAAUGCGUAGAGAUCUGAAGGAACAUCAGUGGCGAAGGCGACUCACUGGGCCAUUACUGACACUGAGGUGCGAAAGCGUGGGUAGCAAACAGGAUUAGAAACCCGAGUAGUCCC